Molecule: ribosomal RNA, 71 nt
Filed under: Dothiorella viticola
Lineage: Eukaryota; Fungi; Ascomycota; Dothideomycetes; Botryosphaeriales; Botryosphaeriaceae
Description: partial 28S ribosomal RNA
Source: RNAcentral
UUUCUCAAAGGUUGACCUCGGAUCAGGUAGGGAUACCCGCUGAACUUAAGCAUAUCAAUAAGCCGGAGGAA